CGAACGGCAGCGCGGGGCAACCUGGCGGCGAGUGGCGAACGGGUGAGUAAUAUAUCGGAACGUGCCCUGGAGUGGGGGAUAACGCAGCGAAAGUUGCGCUAAUACCGCAUACGAUCUAAGGAUGAAAGUGGGGGAUUCGCAAGAACCUCAUGCUCCUGGAGCGGCCGAUAUCUGAUUAGCUAGUUGGUGGGGUAAAGGCCUACCAAGGCAUCGAUCAGUAGCUGGUCUGAGAGGACGACCAGCCACACUGGAACUGAGACACGGUCCAGACUCCUACGGGAGGCAGCAGUGGGGAAUUUUGGACAAUGGGCGCAAGCCUGAUCCAGCAAUGCCGCGUGAGUGAAGAAGGCCUUCGGGUUGUAAAGCUCUUUUGUCAGGGAAGAAACGGUGAAGGCUAAUAUCCUUUGCUAAUGACGGUACCUGAAGAAUAAGCACCGGCUAACUACGUGCCAGCAGCCGCGGUAAUACGUAGGGUGCAAGCGUUAAUCGGAAUUACUGGGCGUAAAGCGUGCGCAGGCGGUUUUGUAAGUUUGUCGUGAAAUCCCCGGGCUCAACCUGGGAAUUGCGAUGAAGACUGCAAGGCUAGAAUCUGGCAGA
This 597-nucleotide ribosomal RNA is filed under the name Rugamonas sp. bw2. RNAcentral's name for it is "bacterial SSU rRNA". It matches the Rfam family "Bacterial small subunit ribosomal RNA", at positions 63 to 655 of the family's 1533-position model. The record is from RNAcentral. Lineage: Bacteria; Pseudomonadati; Pseudomonadota; Betaproteobacteria; Burkholderiales; Oxalobacteraceae.